Molecule: ribosomal RNA, 510 nt
Filed under: uncultured Acaulospora
Lineage: Eukaryota; Fungi; Glomeromycota; Glomeromycetes; Diversisporales; Acaulosporaceae
Description: SSU rRNA
Rfam family: Eukaryotic small subunit ribosomal RNA
Source: RNAcentral
AGCAGCCGCGGUAAUUCCAGCUCCAAUAGCGUAUAUUAAAGUUGUUGCAGUUAAAAAGCUCGUAGUUGAAUUUCGGAAUUUAUCGGUUGGUCGGGCUUCACUGUCCGCACUGGCCUGAUGGAUUCCUACCUUCUGAAUAACCAGCAUGCUAUUAAUUUAGUGCGUUGGGGAAGCAGAGCUAUUACCUUGAAAAAAUUAGAGUGCUUAAAGCAGGCUUACGCUUGAAUAGAUUAGCAUGGAAUAAUAAAAUAGGACGGCUUGGUUCUAUUUUGUUGGUUUCUAGGAUCACCGUAAUGAUUAAUAGGGAUAGUUGGGGGCAUUAGUAUUCAAUUGUCAGAGGUGAAAUUCUUGGAUUUAUUGAAGACUAACUUCUGCGAAAGCAUUUGCCAAGGAUGUUUUCAUUAAUCAAGAACGAAAGUUAGGGGAUCGAAGACGAUCAGAUACCGUCGUAGUCUUAACCAUAAACUAUGCCGACUAGGGAUCGGACGAUGUUAAUUUUUUAAUGACUCG